RNAcentral lists this ribosomal RNA (254 nucleotides) under uncultured bacterium. Its description in RNAcentral is "partial 16S ribosomal RNA". It matches the Rfam family "Bacterial small subunit ribosomal RNA", at positions 524 to 776 of the family's 1533-position model. The record is from RNAcentral.
CACGUAGGGACCGAGCGUUGUCCGGAUUCAUUGGGCGUAAAGAGCUCGUAGGCGGUUCGAUAAGUCGGGUGUGAAACCUCCAGGCUCAACCUGGAGACGCCACCCGAUACUGUCGUGACUAGAGUCCAGUAGGGGAGCGUGGAAUUCCUGGUGUAGCGGUGAAAUGCGCAGAUAUCAGGAGGAACACCAGCGGCGAAGGCGGCGCUCUGGCUCGACCCUGACGCUGAGGCGCGAAAGCGUGGGGAGCAAACAGG